Molecule: ribosomal RNA, 253 nt
Filed under: uncultured bacterium
Lineage: Bacteria
Description: partial 16S ribosomal RNA
Rfam family: Bacterial small subunit ribosomal RNA
Source: RNAcentral
UACGGAGGAUCCGAGCGUUAUCCGGAUUUAUUGGGUUUAAAGGGAGCGUAGGUGGAUUGUUAAGUCAGUUGUGAAAGUUUGCGGCUCAACCGUAAAAUUGCAGUUGAAACUGGCAGUCUUGAGUACAGUAGAGGUGGGCGGAAUUCGUGGUGUAGCGGUGAAAUGCUUAGAUAUCACGCAGAACCCCGAUUGCGAAGGCAGCCUUCCGGCGCCCUACUGACGCUGAGGCACGAAAGUGCGGGGAUCGAACAGG